GACGAACGCUGGCGGCGUGCUUAACACAUGCAAGUCGUACGGUAAGGCCCUUUCGGGGGUCCACGAGUGGCGAACGGGUGAGUAACACGUGAGUAACCUGCCCACAACUUUGGGAUAACGCUAGGAAACUGGUGCUAAUACUGGAUAUGUGCUCCUGCUGCAUGGUGGGGGUUGGAAAGCUCCGGCGGUUGUGGAUGGACUCGCGGCCUAUCAGCUUGUUGGUGGGGUAGUGGCCUACCAAGGCGGCGACGGGUAGCCGGCCUGAGAGGGUGACCGGCCACAUUGGGACUGAGAUACGGCCCAGACUCCUACGGGAGGCAGCAGUGGGGAAGAUUGCACAAUGGGCGCAAGCCUGAUGCAGCAACGCCGCGGGCGGGAUGACGGCCUUCGGGUUGUAAACCGCUUUCAGCAGGGACGAAGCUUUUUGUGACGGUACCUGCAGAAGAAGCACCGGCUAACUACGUG
Molecule: ribosomal RNA, 465 nt
Filed under: uncultured bacterium
Lineage: Bacteria
Description: partial 16S ribosomal RNA
Rfam family: Bacterial small subunit ribosomal RNA
Source: RNAcentral